GGGCUCAGACCCACUUAUCUUAACCCGAGGCUCACCACAAUCUCCUCAUAGAUAUCCGGAUCCUCUCUUGCUGCAAACAAUCCAUUUGACACUAUCUUUCCAAAGUCACGGCUCUCCGAUACCCGCACAUCUCACAUAGAACCAUCCUAUGCAUCACUGCCAUUGGUGCUAGAAACUAGCUCCAUCCGUGCACCCCUAGACUUUAAACUCGUACCAAACCAUCCUCCACCCAUGGAGG
RNAcentral lists this long non-coding RNA (238 nucleotides) under Elaeis guineensis (African oil palm). Its description in RNAcentral is "long non-coding RNA (EGUI_LNC008489)". Lineage: Eukaryota; Viridiplantae; Streptophyta; Magnoliopsida; Arecales; Arecaceae. The record is from RNAcentral.